UCCACGCCGUAAACGAUGAGAACUAGUUGUUGGGGGUAUUAAAAACCUUUAGUGACGAAGCUAACGCGAUAAGUUCUCCGCCUGGGGAGUACGGCCGCAAGGUUGAAACUCAAAGGAAUUGACGGGGGCCCGCACAAGCGGUGGAGCAUGUGGUUUAAUUCGAUGCAACGCGAAGAACCUUACCUGGCCUUGACAUUGAUGGAAUCCUUUGGAAACUUAGGAGUGUCUUCGGACCCUGAAAAC
This 243-nucleotide ribosomal RNA is filed under the name uncultured bacterium. Its description in RNAcentral is "partial 16S ribosomal RNA". It matches the Rfam family "Bacterial small subunit ribosomal RNA", at positions 794 to 1035 of the family's 1533-position model. The record is from RNAcentral.